UUUAAAUGAAAUGAAAUGAAUUAGUAAUGACCGGUCCCUCUUCCUGGGAACGCGGGGCGGCUGGCCGGGGGCUGCCUUGGCCCGCGGGAGGGUGGGCGGGGGUGGGGGCGGCCCUGCGGGGCUCGAGGGCUUCGGGCCGGGGCGGGGGCGCCGCGAGGACUGGGAGCGCGCUGGGGUUGCACCCGCCGCACUGCAGGGCCCCUCACCCGGCCCAGGACGCGGAGGGGGCUUCCUUGCCCCGGCCCCUCGCCUGGGGUCGCCUCCUCUGCCUUCCUCCCUGCCUCGGCCGCGCCUUGCUGUGGGCCCGGAGGCUACCCCGCUCCUGGGGUGCUGCGGCCACGGGCGGGGAGGCCGGCGCCCUCUUCCCCGGGCUCGGGGGCCCCUGUGCCAACAAUGAGGGCACCUCCCUGCCCCACUCGAGCCCCCCCCCCAGUCCCGCCCUGAGUGGCCCCAUCACCUCCGCGGGGGCCCCUCUCCUGCACCCAGCACUUCCUUCCCACCGCCGCAUCCCAUCCCCUGUUCCACAGACGUUCAGCUCAGGGGGUCCCCUCCGCUCCCCACAGCCGUCGCCCUCCGUCCUCUUCUCCCUCUGGGCGCCGCCGGGUCUGGUUUCAGGCGCGUCCCGAGUCGUCCGCGCCCGCAGGGCCUUCUUCGGUCAGCGGUUUUCCUUCGUGUAGGUCCCCUUCCCAGUAUACCGGGACGUACGUACACGAUCUUUUAUAUGAAAAGAUUUAUCGUGAUUGGAGUUUUAAAUUCAAUCAAUAAUUCAUUCCAAAAAUGUAACUUGAGCCCAGUGCUCGCAGGCCCGGCCACCGCUGUGAGCAAGCCAGGAGGUCCCCCUGCCUCCCUGGGCUGCAGGGGGUGUGCACGUCCGCUGUGAGCUUUCACCUUGUCUGCGCUUUUAAAGACCCUUGCAUGUUUCUGAGAGAGGCUGGCCCACAGCUUCCAGCAAACUUCAUCCUGAGGCAGGCAGUUGUCCCUGCUACAUCCAGUCCCUGCACCCAGUCACCCCAGAUGAACCCAGUUACCCCAAGUAACCCAAGCACCUCCAGUUAGCAGUCCCUACCAGGUAACCCAGUCACCCCAACAAUGCAGGCACCCCAGAUAAAUCAACUCACCUUCAGAUAACAGUCGCUUCUCCCAUAACCUAUUCACCCCAGAUAGUCACCCCCAGAUAACCCAGUCACUACCAGAUAAACCAAUCACCCCAAAUAAUGCAGGCACCUCUCACAUAUUCACCCGGUAAGUCAGUCAUCUCAGAUAAAAUAAUCACCCCCAAAUAACCAAGUCACCCUUCAGAUAACCAGAUAAACCAGUCAUCUCCUGGAUAAGCCAGGUACCCCUCAGAUAACUCAUCCCAUAUAUCCAUCACCCCCAAAUAACCAUCACCCCAGAGAACCCAGCCACCCUUCAAAUAACCAAGCCAGCCCCAGACAACUCAGUCACUCCCAGAUAACCCAGCACAGUGAUUUCCAGACCCUCUGAGUGCCCUGGGUGUGGCUGCUGAGUGGGCACCUGUUUGUCAGAUGCACUUUCUGCUUUCGCAGGGGUGCCUCUUGGUGCUUUCCACAAGUGCUGGGCCAGUCCAUGCUCUCACCAUCGGUGAAAAAUCUUCCUGUCCCUGUAUUCUUUCCAGCUCUCAGCCCUAUCCACCCUCUAGUAUCUGCCAUUCUGAGGGGUGGAGUGUAGCUUCACAGUGCUUUUGAGUUUCUUUAUUCCUCGUGGUUUGUGUACAUGGGCUGUUCAAACCCCCUGCACACUGCAUCACUGGUGCUCACUGCAACCCUGAACUCCUGGGCUCAAGCAAUCCUCCCACCUUGGCACCCCCAAGUAGCUGGCAUUAUAGCUGCACACCACCACGCCCUGUUUUCAUUUUUCUUGAGACAAGGUCUCAGUUGCCCAAGCUGGAGUGCAACAGUGUGAUCUUGGCUCACUGCAACCUCCAUCUCCUAGGCUCAAGGGAUCCUCCCACUUCAGCCUCCCAAGUAGCUGGGACUGCAGGUGUGCACCACCACACCUGGCCUUAAAAUUUCCUUAUCUGUAAAAACAGGGUAUCAUUAUAUUGCCCAGGAUGGUCUCAAACUCCUGAUCCACCCUGCCUUGGCCUCCCACAGUGCUGGGCUUGCAGGCUUGGGAAUGAAGGCGUGAGGCAUGCUGGGUUUGCAGGCGUGGGACUGCAGGCGUGAGGCAUGCUGGGCUUGCAGGCGUGGGACUGCAGGCGUGAGGCAUGCUGGGCUUGCAGGCGUGGGACUGCAGGCGUGAGGCAUGCUGGGCUUGCAGGCGUGGGACUGCAGGCGUGAGGCAUGCUGGGCUUGCAGGCGUGGGACUGCAGGCGUGAGGCAUGCUGGGCUUGCAGGCGUGGGAUUGCAGGCCUGAGCCAUGCUGGGCUUGCAGGCCUGGGAGUGCAGGCGUGGGAGCUUGAGAAGAGGAAUGUCUGUGGCAGAGCCGAAACCGGAACUCAAACUCGGCACCCUGGCUGCCAUCCUCAUUCCGGAGGGGCCUGGACAAGCAUAGCAGGGGCCAGAGUGAAACGGUGAACAAGCUUUCUGAGCUUCUAUAUCCAUGAAGAUGAAAAACAGGAAAAGAACUGUCUCAUUUCAGCCCUAAGUAAUAUCUUCCCAUGAAGAUAUGAACUGUUUGCAAAGAAACACCAUACAGAUUAAGUAAUGCAUUUCUGGCCAGGCAUGGUGGCUCUUGCCUGUAAUCCCAGCAUUUUGGGAGGCUGAGGCAGGUGGAUCACUUGAGGCCAGGAGUUGAGACCAACCUGGCCAACACGGCAAAACCCUGUCUCUACUAAAAAUACAAAACUUAGCCAGGCACGGUAGCACGUGCCUGUAAUCCCAGCUACUCAGGAGGCUGAAGCAGAAGAAUCGCUUGAACCUGGAAGGUAGAGAGGGCAGUGAGCCAAGAUCGCACCACCCCACUCCAGCCUGGCCAAGAGUGAGACUCAGUCUCUCAAAAAAAAAAAAAAAAAAAAGCAUUUCCAAUUCAAUUUUAUUUUUAUGCUUAUUUUUGAAAAU
Callithrix jacchus (white-tufted-ear marmoset) is the source of this 3020-nucleotide non-coding RNA. The record is from RefSeq and is a predicted model, not a curated record. Lineage: Eukaryota; Metazoa; Chordata; Mammalia; Primates; Cebidae.